This 253-nucleotide ribosomal RNA is filed under the name uncultured bacterium. RNAcentral's name for it is "partial 16S ribosomal RNA". It matches the Rfam family "Bacterial small subunit ribosomal RNA", at positions 524 to 776 of the family's 1533-position model. The record is from RNAcentral.
UACGUAGGGUGCAAGCGUUAAUCGGAAUUACUGGGCGUAAAGCGUGCGCAGGCGGUGAUGUAAGACAGUUGUGAAAUCCCCGGGCUCAGCCUGGGAACUGCAUCUGUGACUGCAUCGCUGGAGUACGGUAGAGGGGGAUGGAAUUCCGCGUGUAGCAGUGAAAUGCGUAGAUAUGCGGAGGAACACCGAUGGCGAAGGCAAUCCCCUGGACCUGUACUGACGCUCAUGCACGAAAGCGUGGGGAGCAAACAGG